This 894-nucleotide ribosomal RNA is filed under the name Neurospora lineolata. RNAcentral's name for it is "LSU rRNA". It matches the Rfam family "Eukaryotic large subunit ribosomal RNA", at positions 38 to 965 of the family's 3401-position model. Lineage: Eukaryota; Fungi; Ascomycota; Sordariomycetes; Sordariales; Sordariaceae. The record is from RNAcentral.
GCAUAUCAAUAAGCGGAGGGAAAAGAAACCAACAGGGAUUGCCCUAGUAACGGCGAGUGAAGCGGCAACAGCUCAAAUUUGAAAUCUGCCUUCGGGCCGAGUUGUAAUUUGUAGAGGAAGCUUUUGGUGAGGCACCUUCUGAGUCCCCUGGAACGGGGCGCCAUAGAGGGUGAGAGCCCCGUAUAGUCGGAUGCCGAUCCAAUGUAAAGCUCCUUCGACGAGUCGAGUAGUUUGGGAAUGCUGCUCAAAAUGGGAGGUAAAUUUCUUCUAAAGCUAAAUACCGGCCAGAGACCGAUAGCGCACAAGUAGAGUGAUCGAAAGAUGAAAAGCACCUUGAAAAGGGGGUUAAAUAGCACGUGAAAUUGUUGAAAGGGAAGCGUUUGCGGCCAGACUUGCGCCGCUCCGAUCAUCCGGUGUUCUCACCGGUGCACUCGGGGCGGCGCAGGCCAGCAUCGGUUUCGGCGGGGGGACAAAGGUCCAGGGAACGUAGCUCCUUCGGGAGUGUUAUAGCCCUGGGCGUAAUGCCCUCGCCGGGACCGAGGUUCGCGCAUCUGCAAGGAUGCUGGCGUAAUGGCCGCCAACGACCCGUCUUGAAACACGGACCAAGGAGUCAAGGUUUUGCGCGAGUGUUUGGGUGUAAAACCCGCACGCGUAAUGAAAGUGAACGUAGGUGAGAGCUUCGGCGCAUCAUCGACCGAUCCUGAUGUAUUCGGAUGGAUUUGAGUAAGAGCGUUAAGCCUUGGACCCGAAAGAUGGUGAACUAUGCUUGGAUAGGGUGAAGCCAGAGGAAACUCUGGUGGAGGCUCGCAGCGGUUCUGACGUGCAAAUCGAUCGUCAAAUCUGAGCAUGGGGCGAAAGACUAAUCGAACCAUCUAGUAGCUGGUUACCGCCGAU